This 420-nucleotide ribosomal RNA is filed under the name bacterium. RNAcentral's name for it is "partial 16S ribosomal RNA". It matches the Rfam family "Bacterial small subunit ribosomal RNA", at positions 355 to 776 of the family's 1533-position model. The record is from RNAcentral.
UGGGGGAUAUUGCACAAUGGGCGAAAGCCUGAUGCAGCGACGCCGCGUGGGGGAUGAAGGCUUUCGGGUUGUAAACCUCUUUCGCUAUCGAACAAGGCCCGCUUAGGGUGGGUUGAGGGUAGGUGGAGAAGAAGCGCCGGCUAACUACGUGCUAGCAGCCGCGGUAAUACGUAGGGCGCGAGCGUUGUCCGGAAUUAUUGGGCGUAAAGGGCUUGUAGGCGGCUUGUUGCGCCUGCUGUGAAAACGCGGGGCUUAACUUCGCGCGUGCAGUGGGUACGGGCAGGCUUGAGUGUGGUAGGGGUGACUGGAAUUCCAGGUGUAGCGGUGGAAUGCGCAGAUAUCUGGAGGAACACCGAUGGCGAAGGCAGGUCACUGGGCCAUUACUGACGCUGAGGAGCGAAAGCAUGGGUAGCGAACAGG